This 10611-nucleotide long non-coding RNA is filed under the name Triticum aestivum (bread wheat). RNAcentral describes it as "long non-coding RNA (TAES_LNC011650)". Lineage: Eukaryota; Viridiplantae; Streptophyta; Magnoliopsida; Poales; Poaceae. The record is from RNAcentral.
AAUGUGUUUCGUUGGCUAGAAUAGAAGUCUCAGUUGGCCAGGAUGCAUUAUUUCAGUUUUGGCCACCAUGCAUGUUCAUUUGGAUAGUGUAACACCCCAACGGACACAGCGCUUGGAAUAUUACCACAUAACACCUUCGAAAUGAAAACAUGCCCUCAAAAGAAUUUCGGCAGAGUUUCCUCUAUUUCUAAGGACACCCACGACAUGCAAUUCAUAUAGUAUAUAUAUCGCAAAGAACUAGCACCGGUGUAAAGCACAAGGCUACAAUACCAUAACCGAGAACAUCCUCGGUAACUUUAGGCGAUAGCGUUAGUCUUAAGGGGAAAUUAGCUAAGCCAUACAGACCAAGAGGGUAUCUCUCCAAUUCAAGAUGAACCACCACAGGUAGUAAAGUACAACUAUACUAGGUUCUCAAAACACGGUCCUAAAGGACAAUAGGUGUGAGUUCCGUGAAGUGAAAACGGUGAAGAUGCUACUCCCAAGACUCCCAUGCAUGUCGUCCUCAGGAUUUACCUAAAACAAAUAAGCAACAAGGAUGAGUACAAAGACUCAGCAAGUACAUCCAUGAAUAGUAAGCAUUACAUAUGUCAAGAUACCAAAUCUCUAUUAAGCACCAUACACUCAUCAGCAAUCAACACGUGUAUUCAUGACUUACGUGCCUACAUGCUCAUCUCAUUUCAUUGCGUAUACCGGUAUCGCUCGAGUCGACGCCCGUCGACAUCCACUCACUCCAACUUGUGGAGGUUGCCUCCACAGUAGGUCGCAACCCAACAAUGGAGGUCUCAAUGUGCCUACCCAAGGUAGGGAACUCUUUCUUUCACGAUCAUCAUGUAUGCAAAUAUGCAAAUGCAAGCAAAGAACUUGAAUCAACAUGUCUUUGUCAUCGUCAUCUCCAUCACAAUAAACAUCAUAGACAUGGGCGAAUAUCAAGAUACAAAAGAAGUGCAGAGGAUAUGCAACGUCGUUAUCCUGUCAUGAACUUGCCUCAACCGCGGGGCACAACUUGUGGGUUAAAGGAUCCUGAACCAGAAGUACCAACACCUGUAAACAGGCAUAUAUCACAACCAAUACAAAAACAUGGACUUAACUUCUAAGCAUAUAUAAUUCAGCUUCGCUCCUACGCAUAAGACCCAGUGCAUAUCAAUCAACAUUGAUGAAAUCUGAGAAUAUAUACUUGUUCCUCUACCCAAGUCCAUACAUUAAAAUUCUGUCCAACAUAGUACAGCCCACCUUGAUAACUUCAUAGGUUUUAAUAUACCAAACAAAAUAUAAUAAAUGAUAUGUGUUUAAUCAUCUACAGAACAGCAUCUACAAAUAUCAUGUUAUAACUUUAUUUUAAUUCCACAUUUAACAGGUCCUAAUCUCCCAAAUGAAAAUACUGUACGCAGAAAACUGUAUUUCUGGACAGCAAACCAAAUAGACGGCUGCUCUCAAACCGUACAUCCAAACGAGGCAAUUAAGUACUCCACGGAAACCUUAGAACAUGCUUUACAAAUCAUAUGUAGAGCCCAACUCAAAAUUCUAAGCAUAACUAUCCCGUUUUUCACCUAGAAGCUGGCUAUCCAGAUCUGACAGUUCAGUUCUUGUGUAGUUUAUGUGCAGUAUUAACCGAACCAAGUUCAGUUUACAAGGAGAGAUACCCAACGCUCCAGAUUUUACAUGGAAGCAAUCAACACCUCGCAAAAAUAUAGAUGGGCUAUCAUCCCCAAUUGAUUUGGUUAAUCAAAGGAACUAACAAAGAGAAGGUCCAGCCUGGGUGUCAAUACCAAAUAGCUAAAAGCAUGGAGAUCACCAAUGAAUUUGCAAAUUGGUUCAGGAAUCCCUUUCCAAAUCCCGAAUCUAAUUCUAAACUAUCAACUGCUACCCAAAUCCCUAAUUAUGACCUAGGAGGCACCAUAGAAAAGGAGAACUGGGACGUACUGCUAGCGACAUGACGCCCAGCAGCCACCCCUGCUCAGCAACGACCACGGAGAGGAGAUGCGUCGGGGAGAGCAGCAACCUCGCAGCUCACGGCGGCGGCAACCACCACCAGCAGCAGCGACGGCAGCAGCCUCUGUUGGGAAGACCAGAGGAAGGCUUUGGUGAGGGGUAACAGGAGAGAAACAGGAUUUGGGCGCAGCGUACAGCGGCGCAAGGAGCGACCGAUGGCUACGCCAAGUCUGACUGGGCCUUGAGCCCAUAUAGGAUUUUCUUUCCUCUCGUUUUGGAAGGCUUAAAGAGCUAAAAUCUGCUAUUUAGUCAAAAGCACCACAUAGGCCAACUGGUAUUCAGCCUACUACUGAGAGGUCCAAGGUUCAAAUGCCAACACGCCUCUUCCAUUUAUUUCCCAUAGUCUCUCUCUCUCUCUCUNNNNNNNNNNNNNNNNNNNNNNNNNNNNNNNNNNNNNNNNNNNNNNNNNNNNNNNNNNNNNNNNNNNNNNNNNNNNNNNNNNNNNNNNNNNNNNNNNNNNNNNNNNNNNNNNNNNNNNNNNNNNNNNNNNNNNNNNNNNNNNNNNNNNNNNNNNNNNNNNNNNNNNNNNNNNNNCCUUUUCCUAUUUUAUAUCAUAGUCUACAAAUAUCGACUUUACCUUAUUCAUCUAUAUAUUUAAGCAUAUUGGCACAAUCAAUUAGCAAAAGAAAUCUGGGGCAUUACAGAUAGUUAAUGUGUUCAGUUGGCUAGAAUAGAUGUUUCAGUUGGCCAGGAUACAUUUUUUCAGUUUUGGCCAACAUGCAUGUUUAGUUGGCUAGAAAACAUGUUCUUAUUGCACAUAUACUACAUGUUUUCUAAAGUGUCCACUCACAAAUAUCCAGUGCAUGUGGGGUACAAUGCAUGUUUUAGUCAUGUUUUAAUUGGCCAGAGAACUUGUCUUAGUUGGCUUGUUUAACACAUCCAGGCGGUAGAAGCUUGCUUGGGAUGCAUCAUAUUCAGUAAAGUUGGUCUCAAACCAUGUUUAAUGUGCAACUAGGCAGCUGUGCAACAAAACCUAAAUGACUUGUGUUUAGUUGCACAACCCAGGAAAUAGUAGGCUUCCACCCAUGGUUAGUUGCAUAGUAAUUCGUGGUAGUUGUUUUCAGUUGCAAUAUGUCAUUCAUGGGGGGGAGGGGGUGGAGGGUGGUGUGAUGUGCCAGAUUCACCUCUUUUUUGAAGCAGCUUCUCCAUGGAUUUGUGCUAGAUCCAUGGAGAAGAGGGUUUACAUAUGCCUACAUAUAUGCAGUAGAAGAAAGUGGGAAGUGAAGAGGGGUAGAGGGGCAAAGUGGAUUCAUGGUAGUUGUUUUCAUCUAUAUAUUUAAGCAUAUUGGCAAAAUCAAUUAGCAAAAGAAAUCUGGGGCAUUACAUUAUCACCCCCUUAAGCAGAAUUCGACCUCGAAUUCUUCACCACAUUACUACUCAGAAAGCGGGCAUAACUGAUAACUAAGAAAUGGAAUGAAAACCAGACACCACGUACCGGUCUCGAACAAUUCCGGAUACUUUUCCCGCAUGCGUGACUCAAGCUCCCAAGUCGCCUCACGCUCGGAUUGUUGCGACCAGAGAACCUUCACAUACUUGAGCGUCUUAUUCCUCAACACUCUCUCAGACUUCUUCCAAUAUCCUCACAGGGCGAACCUCAAAGGUAAGAUCUUGCUCAAUUGUAAUUGGCUCCACAGUCAAUUGUCGUUCGGGAUCUCGGAAGUACUUACGUAGCAUGGAUACAUGGAAUACGUUAUGCACACCUUUCAUUGACUCAGGCAACUCAAGACGAUAGGCUAGUUUCCCUACUCGUGCCACUAUUAAGAAGGGUCCAAUGUACCGUGGGCUAAGCUUUCCUUUGAUAUUGAACCUGAUAACACCCUUGGUUGGUGAGACUCUCAGAAGUACCUCUUCUCCUUCCUGAAACUCCACAUUGCGCCUCUUGGGGUCGGCAUAGCUCUUUUGCCUACUCUGGGCUGCUAGCAUAUGGUGUCUAAUUUCAGCUAUUCUGUCUGUAGUUCGUUGAACCCAAUCUGGUCCCAGCACUGCCUUCUCGCCCACUGCAUUCCAACAUACUAGAGACCUACACUUUCUUCCAUACAAGGCCUCAUAAGGUGCCAUUCGAAUGCUAGCUUGAUAACUAUUAUUGUAAGCAAACUCCACAAGUGGUAGAUGAUCCUCCCAGCUCCCUUGCCACAAUAGGAUACAACAUCGCAACAUAUCUUCUAAAGUUUGGAUGGUACGCUCUGACUGACCAUCUGUUUGGGGAUGAAAUGCCGUGCUAAUCCUCAACUGUGUACCCAUUGCACUCUGCCAGCUCUCCCAGAACCUUGAUACAAACUUGGCAUCUCUGUCAGAAGUAAUAGUUUUUGGAACUCCGUGCAAUCUUACUAUCUCACGCACAUAUACCGGUGCCAAGUCACUUGCUGAGUUUGUGGUACGGAUAGGAAUAAAAUGAGCCACUUUGGUAAGUCGGUCCACCACCACCCAAAUUGCAUCCUUUCCCCUUCGGGUGCGAGGUAGGCCAACAACAAAAUCCAUGGCGACAUCAUCCCAUGGCCACUCUGGAACCUCUAAGGACUGCAACAAACCCGCGGGUCUCUUAUGCUCAGCCUUCACGAGCUGACAGACCCCACAAGAAGCCACAUACUUUGCCACGUCAACUUUCAUCCUUUUCCACCAAUAAGUCUUCAAGUCUUGGUACAUCUUUGUCUCUCCAGGAUGAACUGUGUAUGGGGUACGAUGUGCUUCUCUCAGAAUAUCCUCCUUAACAUGGGACUUUUGUGGCACACAAAGGCGGCCGUGAAACCGAACCGAUCCAGUCCCAUCUAGAGUGAAAUCUCCGGUUUUACCUUCUUGGAUGCGCUCCCGCACCUGCAACAACAACCGGUCAUUCUGUUGUGCUUCCCUCACUCUGUCUGGGAUAGCUGAUUGAAGGAUGAAUUGUGUCUCCUCAUGUGCUACACCGGCAAAACAAUAUGAGAUGCUCAUCCGCUCAAAAUCAGCAAUGUGGCAACCUAAAGUGGGAGGGACAAUCUUGCGGCUAAGAGCAUCCGCAACCACAUUUGCUUUGCCAGGGUGGUACUGGAUUGAGAGGUCAUAGUCCUUUAUCAAUUCUAACCAUCGUCUUUGCCGUAAGUUUAGCUCCUUUUGAGUGAAGAUAUAUUUGAGACUCUUAUGAUCAGUAAAAAUAUCACAAGAUUCUCCGUAAAGAUAAGGCCUCCAUAUCUUGAGUGCAAAGACCACAGCUGCAAGCUCUAGAUCAUGUGUAGGGUAGUUCUGCUCAUGCUUUUUCAGUUGCCUAGAAGCAUAGGAAAUUACCUUGCCAUCUUGCAUGAGAACGCACCCAAGACCAAUCCAAGAAGCAUCAGAGUACACUGUGAAGCGUUUCCCAGGUUCAGGUUGAGUGAGAACAGGCGCGGUUACCAAUCUAUUCUUUAGCAUUGAGAAACUAUUCUCACAUUCAGCAUCCCACCAAAAUUUCACAUCCUUUUGUGUUAGCUUGGUCCUUGGCUUGGCGAUAAUAGAGAAAUCUUUCACAAACCUCCGAUAGUAACCAGCUAAACCCAAGAAACUUCUUACUUCUUUGACAUUAGAUGGUCUUGGCCACUCUACAACUGUAGAAACUUUACUAGGAUCAACUGAGAUUCCUUCUUGGUUGAUAACGUGUCCUAGAAAAGCCACUUCAGAAAGCCAAAAUUCACAUUUCUUUAGCCUUGCAUAAAACUUAUUCUUCCUCAGGGUUUCAAGAACAAGCCUCAAGUGGCGCUCAUGAUCUUCCUCUGUCUUUGAAUAGAUAAGAAUGUCGUCGAUGAAAACAACCACAAAGUCAUCAAGGAACAUAUGCAGCAUGCUGUUCAUCAUCUCCAUGAAGAUGGCAGGGGCAUUUGUUAGUCCAAAGGACAUAACUUUGAAUUCAUAGUGCCCAUACCUAGUGGAGAAAGCAGUCUUUUCAAUAUCUUGUUCACGCACACGAAUUUGAUUAUAGCCAGACUGCAGAUCAAUCUUGGAGAACACCUUAGCUCUCUUUAGUUGAUCAAACAAAUCUUGAAUGCAAGGUAAAGGAUACUUAUUCUUGAUGGUCACGGCAUUAAGGGCACGAUAGUCCACACACAUACGCCAACUACCAUCCUUCUUAAGUAUGAACAACACAGGUGCUCCCCAGGGUGACACACUACGCCGAAUCAACCCUUUGGAUAACAUAUCAUCCAACUGUUUCUUUAAUUCUUCUCGAAGUGGGCGUGCCAAUCGAUAUGGGGACAUGGAGAUAGGUCGGGUGCCAGGAAUAACAUCAAUGCGGAAGUCAACAUCCCUCUCAGGUGGCAUACAGGCAACUCAUCAGGGAAAACAUCUACAUAAUCACAUACCACUGGGAUAGCUUCAACUGAUAACACAACAUUUGGGGUCUCGGCAAGGGCCCAUAGUAAGCCGGUCUUGACCGCUCGUUGGCCAGGGAACAAGCUAGCUAGGACAAGUAGAGAGUGUAGAGGAGCAUCUCCCUGAAAAAUCAACUCCUCGCCAGAUGGGGCCUGAAGUGAGAUGGUCCUCCAAAAGCAUGAUAUCACGGCAUGAUAUCGAUGUAGCCAAUCCAUGCCAAGAAUGACAUCGAAAGGCUUUAGUGGAAUAACCAUAAGAUUGGCUAUAAAAUCCUCAUCAUCUAUAGAUAUCGCACACCCGGGACAAACUACGGAUGAAGAGAUUGGACCACCUGGAGAACUAACAACCACUGACUGAGAAAUUUGUUGCCUAGAUAAGUUGGCCUUAUUUGCAAAUUCCGACGAUACAAACGAAUAAGUAGCUCCAGAAUCAAAAAGGACAAGUGCAUCAUGUGAGUCAACUGGAAGUAUACCUGUCAUGACAUCCGAUCGUCCCAAAGAAGCACUAGUGGGCAUGACAUAAACUCCAGGCUGUGGUGGAACAGAGGAAGACCCAACACCCUGUUGUGACGGUGCAGGUAGCUGAAGUGGAACUGUCGAUGCAGGAAAAUGGGAUGAAGCCAUCGGAACAGCCUGCCAAACGUAGCCCGGAGGUGGCACGCCAGCUGGUGGAAGUUGGGGAGUAGUAGUGUCAGCUGCUAACACAUGCAUAGAUCCCCGAGAUGAUGCAGGAGUAGUGCCAACAGGCGUCGGCUCCCACUUGAUAAUGCUGGCGGGGUUUUGACGACAUACCAGUCCCUUAUGACCCUCACGAUUGCAAUGGUGGCAUUUCCCAGUCCAGGAACACUUAGAAGCACAGAAGCACAGUGCCCUUCACCACACUUGAAACAAAUCAUGCCUUGCCCUGGCACCGGGCGAAAAGAUGGAGCUGAUGAAGAAGAACGGGGCACCGAAGAAUACUGAGACCUUGACUGCUUGAACUUUGUUGUUUGUUGCGGACGGUAAUUUCCUUUGGACUUCGUGAAAGGAGGUCGAGGAGUAGACCCACUUCCACCGCGGUAACUCACCUUUGAGUCACCACCUGUGCCCCCAGAACCUCCAGCACGAUUCUCCUGGGCUUCUGUGAGGCGGACCUCCAACUCCAUCCCUCUAGCCUGCCUAACCAUUGUUAGGUAAUCUGUAGGGGGGUUUGCUCCCAUCACUUCUCUGUACUUUGAAUUCAGCCCUCUAAAGAAUGCCUUAGCCUUCUCCGCCUCAUUACACUUCACCCGAUCCACAAAGAGUACCAUCUUACUAAAUUCUGCCUCAUACUCAUCCACAGUCAACUUCCCUUGCUUAAGGUAGUUCAACUUCACCGACAUUUCCUCCUUGAAUGAGUCUGGAUAAUACUUUGCGGUGAAUUGUUGCACAAAAAACUCCCAGGUGGGUUGCCCAUAGAUAGGAAUAUGAGCAGCACGGACUCCUGUCCACCAAUCAUCAGCAAGAUUCUUAAGGUUGAAGCGCACAAAUUGGGCUCUCUUUUGCGAAGUCAACUCCAUAGCAUCCAUAUAUUUCUCCAUGGUAUUCAACCAUGACGCUGCAUCCAUUGGCGUCCCAGUUCCAUCAAAGCAAUCAACUUUCAAACCUAUCCAGUCUUUUAAGAUCAUCCCUGGAUCAUUGUGCCCACCACUGUUAGCAGAUUCUCUUGCAAGUUCUUCUCCAUGAUGGCUAUGCUCACUUUCCGCAUGAGGUUCCUCUUCCUGAUUGUUGCGUCCUCCACGACUACGACCACGAGGACCACGACCACGACCUCUACCCCUUGGCAUAGCUAUAAGUAACAUAAUUUAUCAUCAACCAAAAGUCAUUAUUAUAUGCAAACAAGUAUGUCAACAUGAAGAGAAAACAUAAACUUAAGCGUAAUGCAAUGCAUGACCCGACCCAUCCUAUUGUGCAUCAGUGUGUCAAUUUGGUGUUCAUCCAAUAGUCAGAAUCUCAAUCAAUCCUAAAUUCAAAACUAAGUUAGGCUCUUAUCCCAAAUAGAUACACCAGGACCCCUAAAGCCCGUUCUGAUACCAACUGUAACACCCCAACCGACACAGCGCUUGGAAUAUUACCACAUAACACCUUCGAAAUGAAAACAUGCCCUCAAAAGAAUUUCGGCAGAGUUUCCUCUAUUUCUAAGGACAUCCACGACAUGCAAUUCAUAUAGUAUAUAUAUCGCAAAGAACUAGCACCGGUGUAAAGCACAAGGCUACAAUACCAUAACCGAGAACAUCCUCGGUAACUUUAGGCGAUAGCGUUAGUCUUAAGGGGAAAUUAGCUAAGCCAUACAGACCAAGAGGGUAUCUCUCCAAUUCAAGAUGAACCACCACAGGUAGUAAAGUACAACUAUACUAGGUUCUCAAAACACGGUCCUAAAGGACAAUAGGUGUGAGUUCCGUGAAGUGAAAACGGUGAAGAUGCUACUCCCAAGACUUCCAUGCAUGUCGUCCUCAGGAUUUACCUAAAACAAAUAAGCAACAAGGAUGAGUACAAAGACUCAGCAAGUACAUACAUGAAUAAUAAGCAUUACACAUGUCAAGAUACCAAAUCUCUAUUAAGCACCAUACACUCAUCAGCAAUCAACACUUGUAUUCAUGCCCUACGUGCCUACAUGCUCAUCUCAUUUCAUUGCGUAUACCGGUAUCGCUUGAGUCGACGCCCGUCGACAUCCACUCACUCCAACUUGUGGAGGUUGCCUCCACAGUAGGUCGCAACCCAACAAUGGAGGUCUCAAUGUGCCUACCCAAGGUAGGGAACUCUUUCUUUCACGAUCAUCAUGUAUGCAAAUAUGCAAAUGCAAGCAAAGAACUUGAAUCAACAUGUCUUUGUCAUCGUCAUCUCCAUCACAAUAAACAUCAUAGACAUGGGCGAAUAUUAAGAUACAAAAGAAGUGCAGAGGAUAUGCAACGUCGUUAUCCUGUCAUGAACUUGCCUCAACCGCGGGGCACAACUUGUGGGUUAAAGGAUCCUGAACCAGAAGUACCAACACCUGUAAGCAGGCAUAUAUCACAACCAAUACAAAAACAUGGACUUAACUUCUAAGCAUAUAUAAUUCAGCUUCGCUCCUACGCAUAAGACCCCAGUGCAUAUCAAUCAACAUUGAUGAAAUCUGAGAAUAUAUACUUGUUCCUCUACCCAAGUCCAUACAUUAAAAUUCUGUCCAACAUAGACAGCCCACCUUGAUAACUUCAUAGGUUUUAAUAUACCAAACAAAAUAUAAUAAAUGAUAUGUGUUUAAUCAUCUACAGAACAGCAUCUACAAAUAUCAUGUUAUAACUUUAUUUUAAUUCCACAUUUAACAGGUCCUAAUCUCCCAAAUGAAAAUACUGUACGCAGAAAACUGUAUUUCUGGACAGCAAACCAAAUAGACGGCUGCUCUCAAACCGUACAUCCAAACGAGGCAAUUAAGUACUCCACGGAAACCUUAGAACAUGCUUUACAAAUCAUAUGUAGAGCCCAACUCAAAAUUCUAAGCAUAACUAUCCCGUUUUUCACCUAGAAGCUGGCUGUCCAGAUCUGACAGUUCAGUUCUUGUGUAGUUUAUGUGCAGUAUUAACCGAACCAAGUUCAGUUUACAAGGAGAGAUACCCAACGCUCCAGAUUUUACAUGGAAGCAAUCAACACCUCGCAAAAAUAUAGAUGGACUAUCAUCCCCAAUUGAUUUGGUUAAUCAAAGGAACUAACAAAGAGAAGGUCCAGCCUGGGUGUCAAUACCAAAUAGCUAAAAGCAUGGAGAUCACCAAUGAAUUUGCAAAUUGGUUCAGGAAUCCCUUUCCAAAUCCCGAAUCUAAUUCUAAACUAUCAACUGCUACCCAAAUCCCUAAUUAUGACCUAGGAGGCACCAUAGAAAAGGAGAACUGGGACGUACUGCUAGCGACACGACGCCCAGCAGCCACCCCUGCUCGGCAACGACCACGGAGAGGAGAUGCGUCGGGGAGAGCAGCAACCUCGCGGCUCACGGCGGCGGCAACCACCACCAGCAGCAGCGACGGCAGCAACCUCUGUUGGGAAGACCAGAGGAAGGCUUUGGUGAGGGGUAACAGGAGAGAAACAGGAUUUGGGCGCAGCGUACAGCGGCGCAAGGAGCGACCAAUGGCUACGCCAAGUCUGACUGGGCCUUGAGCCCAUAUAGGAUUUUCUUUCCUCUCGUUUUGGAAAGCUUAAAGAGCUAAAAUCUGCUAUUUAGUCAAAAGCACCACAUAGGCCAACUGGUAUUCAGCCUACUACUGAGAGGUCCAAGGUUCAAAUGCCAACACGCCUCUUCCAUUUAUUUCCCAUAGUCUCUCUC